GACGAACGCUGGCGGCGUGCUUAACACAUGCAAGUCGAACGGAAAGGCCCUGCUUUUGUGGGGUGCUCGAGUGGCGAACGGGUGAGUAACACGUGAGUAACCUGCCCUUGACUUUGGGAUAACUUCAGGAAACUGGGGCUAAUACCGGAUAGGAGCUCCUGCUGCAUGGUGGGGGUUGGAAAGUUUCGGCGGUUGGGGAUGGACUCGCGGCUUAUCAGCUUGUUGGUGGGGUAGUGGCUUACCAAGGCUUUGACGGGUAGCCGGCCUGAGAGGGUGACCGGCCAAAUUGGGACUGGGAUACGGCCCAGACUCCUACGGGGGGCAGGGGUGGGGAAUAUUGCACAAGGGGGGGAAGCCUGAUGCAGCAACGCCGGGGGGGGGAGGACGGCCUUCGGGUGGUAAACCGCUUUCGCCUGGAACGAAGGGGGGGUGACGGUAAUGGGUAAAGAAGCCCCGGCUAAUUACGU
This 467-nucleotide ribosomal RNA is filed under the name uncultured bacterium. RNAcentral describes it as "partial 16S ribosomal RNA". It matches the Rfam family "Bacterial small subunit ribosomal RNA", at positions 28 to 506 of the family's 1533-position model. The record is from RNAcentral.